RNAcentral lists this ribosomal RNA (1773 nucleotides) under Escherichia coli. Its description in RNAcentral is "bacterial LSU rRNA". It matches the Rfam family "Bacterial large subunit ribosomal RNA", at positions 398 to 2157 of the family's 2925-position model. The record is from RNAcentral. Lineage: Bacteria; Pseudomonadati; Pseudomonadota; Gammaproteobacteria; Enterobacterales; Enterobacteriaceae.
UGUGAGCUCGAUGAGUAGGGCGGGACACGUGGUAUCCUGUCUGAAUAUGGGGGGACCAUCCUCCAAGGCUAAAUACUCCUGACUGACCGAUAGUGAACCAGUACCGUGAGGGAAAGGCGAAAAGAACCCCGGCGAGGGGAGUGAAAAAGAACCUGAAACCGUGUACGUACAAGCAGUGGGAGCCUCUUUUAUGGGGUGACUGCGUACCUUUUGUAUAAUGGGUCAGCGACUUAUAUUCUGUAGCAAGGUUAACCGAAUAGGGGAGCCGAAGGGAAACCGAGUCUUAACUGGGCGUUAAGUUGCAGGGUAUAGACCCGAAACCCGGUGAUCUAGCCAUGGGCAGGUUGAAGGUUGGGUAACACUAACUGGAGGACCGAACCGACUAAUGUUGAAAAAUUAGCGGAUGACUUGUGGCUGGGGGUGAAAGGCCAAUCAAACCGGGAGAUAGCUGGUUCUCCCCGAAAGCUAUUUAGGUAGCGCCUCGUGAAUUCAUCUCCGGGGGUAGAGCACUGUUUCGGCAAGGGGGUCAUCCCGACUUACCAACCCGAUGCAAACUGCGAAUACCGGAGAAUGUUAUCACGGGAGACACACGGCGGGUGCUAACGUCCGUCGUGAAGAGGGAAACAACCCAGACCGCCAGCUAAGGUCCCAAAGUCAUGGUUAAGUGGGAAACGAUGUGGGAAGGCCCAGACAGCCAGGAUGUUGGCUUAGAAGCAGCCAUCAUUUAAAGAAAGCGUAAUAGCUCACUGGUCGAGUCGGCCUGCGCGGAAGAUGUAACGGGGCUAAACCAUGCACCGAAGCUGCGGCAGCGACACUAUGUGUUGUUGGGUAGGGGAGCGUUCUGUAAGCCUGUGAAGGUGUACUGUGAGGUAUGCUGGAGGUAUCAGAAGUGCGAAUGCUGACAUAAGUAACGAUAAAGCGGGUGAAAAGCCCGCUCGCCGGAAGACCAAGGGUUCCUGUCCAACGUUAAUCGGGGCAGGGUGAGUCGACCCCUAAGGCGAGGCCGAAAGGCGUAGUCGAUGGGAAACAGGUUAAUAUUCCUGUACUUGGUGUUACUGCGAAGGGGGGACGGAGAAGGCUAUGUUGGCCGGGCGACGGUUGUCCCGGUUUAAGCGUGUAGGCUGGUUUUCCAGGCAAAUCCGGAAAAUCAAGGCUGAGGCGUGAUGACGAGGCACUACGGUGCUGAAGCAACAAAUGCCCUGCUUCCAGGAAAAGCCUCUAAGCAUCAGGUAACAUCAAAUCGUACCCCAAACCGACACAGGUGGUCAGGUAGAGAAUACCAAGGCGCUUGAGAGAACUCGGGUGAAGGAACUAGGCAAAAUGGUGCCGUAACUUCGGGAGAAGGCACGCUGAUAUGUAGGUGAAGUCCCUCGCGGAUGGAGCUGAAAUCAGUCGAAGAUACCAGCUGGCUGCAACUGUUUAUUAAAAACACAGCACUGUGCAAACACGAAAGUGGACGUAUACGGUGUGACGCCUGCCCGGUGCCGGAAGGUUAAUUGAUGGGGUCAGCGCAAGCGAAGCUCUUGAUCGAAGCCCCGGUAAACGGCGGCCGUAACUAUAACGGUCCUAAGGUAGCGAAAUUCCUUGUCGGGUAAGUUCCGACCUGCACGAAUGGCGUAAUGAUGGCCAGGCUGUCUCCACCCGAGACUCAGUGAAAUUGAACUCGCUGUGAAGAUGCAGUGUACCCGCGGCAAGACGGAAAGACCCCGUGAACCUUUACUAUAGCUUGACACUGAACAUUGAGCCUUGAUGUGUAGGAUAGGUGGGAGGCUU